GACGAACGCUGGCGGCGUGCCUAAUACAUGCAAGUAGAACGCUGAAGGAGGAGCUUGCUUCUCUGGAUGAGUUGCGAACGGGUGAGUAACGCGUAGGUAACCUGCCUGGUAGCGGGGGAUAACUAUUGGAAACGAUAGCUAAUACCGCAUAAUAGUAGAUGUUGCAUGACAUUUGCUUAAAAGGUGCAAUUGCAUCACUACCAGAUGGACCUGCGUUGUAUUAGCUAGUUGGUGGGGUAACGGCUCACCAAGGCGACGAUACAUAGCCGACCUGGGAGGGGGAUCGGCCACACUGGGACUGAGACACGGCCCAGACUCCUUCGGGGGGGAGCAGUAGGGAAUCUUCGGCAAUGGACGGAAGGCUGACCGAGCAACGCCGCGGGAGGGGAGAAGGUUUUCGGAUCGGAAAGCUCUGGUUUAAGGGAAGAACGAGUGUGAGAGUGGAAAGUUCACGUUGUGACGGUAUCUUACCAGAAAGGGACGGCUAACUACGUG
Molecule: ribosomal RNA, 495 nt
Filed under: uncultured bacterium
Lineage: Bacteria
Description: partial 16S ribosomal RNA
Rfam family: Bacterial small subunit ribosomal RNA
Source: RNAcentral